GAUCGGAGCCUCUAAGUCUGGUUCUGUGCGACUGUCGUACAACCAUGAUCGACUGGCGAUCAUAUUGCGCUUCCGCUCUUUCGUUCCAGGCACUGCCCUUCACUCAGUAGAGCUUCAGGUUUUGUAAGUGCUAGCUCCCCACCCGGGCCCCCCUUAAUUGCUCCCGCAGACACCUCCAAGCUCGGCUCUCACAGCAGCGGGUUGCUCCCGGGAGCUGGAGCUGAAGUCUGGGUCUCGAGGCGCCCCAAGCGUGGGGUGCUUCGGGGAUUUAAGGAGGAGAAGGUGUGCCGGGGAAGAGGGUGGGCUACGAGCGCGGGUGGGAUUGUGUGAGUCCCAAUGAGGAUGUUUCAUGUCGUCGGCAGUGGCUUGGGGAGGGUCUUUCCCUCUCUUUCUCUCUUUCGCUCGUCUGUUGGCCGUUUGCGAGUGAACGGCCGGGUUUGCUGCUAGGUGGGCCUGGUUGUGGGUCGCGCCUUGGGGUUUGGGUGCGGCCGCGCGUUUGGUCAUGGGCGGCGUGAAGUGCCGCUGGCGCGCGGCCGGCCGGCGUGCGGCUUGGCUGUGUUCUUCUACAGUGUAAGGGCUCUUGGCAGCGGGUCCCGGCUCCCCUUUGUCGCUCUUUCACAGCACGUUCAUCCUGGUCAGCUUCGGCAGAGCCAUGAGAUCCAGGUUAAGGGGGACAGGAGCACGCAAAUGCAAUUCACCGCUGAUGAACCAAAAGCUUUUGGUUAAGCAUUGCCCAGCUUAUACAGGCUUCCUACAGCACGAUGCUUUUGAGCAACG
Molecule: long non-coding RNA, 777 nt
Filed under: Volvox carteri
Lineage: Eukaryota; Viridiplantae; Chlorophyta; Chlorophyceae; Chlamydomonadales; Volvocaceae
Description: long non-coding RNA (VCAR_LNC003721)
Source: RNAcentral